This 871-nucleotide ribosomal RNA is filed under the name uncultured archaeon. RNAcentral's name for it is "bacterial SSU rRNA". It matches the Rfam family "Archaeal small subunit ribosomal RNA", at positions 1 to 878 of the family's 1478-position model. The record is from RNAcentral.
UUCUCCGGUUGAUCCCGCCGGACCUGACUGCUAUCGGAUUGGUACUAGGCCAUGCUUGUCAUUGUAGCAAUACAAGGCGGACGGCUCAGUAACACGUAGUCAACCUAACUCGUGGACGUGGAUAACCUCGGGAAACUGAGAAUAAACCACGAUAGAUCAUAGUGCCUGGAAUGGCUUAUGGUCCAAACAGUUUACUGCCAUGGGAUGGGACUGCGGCCUAUCAGCUUGUUGGUGAGGUAAUGGCCCACCAAGGCGAUUACAGGUACGGGCUCUGAGAGGAGAAGCCCGGAGAUGGGUACUGAGACACGGACCCAGGCCCUAUGGGGCGCAGCAGGCGAGAAACCUUAGCAAUGUGCGAAAGCACGACUGGGUCAGUCCGAGUGAUUCCUGAUAAAGGAGUCUUUUGCUUGUCCUAAAAGCACAGGUGAAUAAGGGGUGGGCAAGUCUGGUGUCAGCCGCCGCGGUAAUACCAGCACCUCGAGUGGUCAGGACGUUUAUUGGGCCUAAAGCAUCCGUAGCCGGCUCUGCAAGUCUUCGGUUAAAUCCACCUGCUCAACAGAUGGGCUGCUGGAGAUACUACAGAGCUAGGGAGUGGGAGAGGCAGACGGUAUUCAGUGGGUAGGGGUAAAAUCCUCUGAUCCAUUGAGGACCACCAGUGGCGAAGGCGGUCUGCCAGAACACGUUCGACGGUGAGGGAUGAAAGCUGGGGGAGCAAACCGGAUUAGAUACCCGGGUAGUCCCAGCUGUAAACGAUGCAAACUCGGUGAUGCAUUGGCUUAUGGCCAAUGCAGUGCCGCAGGGAAGCCGUUAAGUUUGCCGCCUGGGAAGUACGGACGCAAGUCUGAAACUUAAAGGAAUUGGCGGGGGAGCA